UACCUGCAGCUCAAGUGGUGAUCGUUAUUAUUGGGCCUAAAACGUCCGUAGCCGGUCUUGUAAAUGCCUGGGUAAAUCGUAUGGCUUAACUAUACGAAUUCCGGGUAGACUGUUAGACUUGAGACCGGGAGAAGCUAGAGGUACUCCUGGGGUAGAGGUGAAAUUCUGUAAUCCUAGGGGGACCACCAGUGGCGAAGGCGUCUAGCUAGAACGGGUCUGACGGUGAGGGACGAAGCCCUGGGGCGCAAACGGGAUUAGAUACCCCGGUAGUCCAGGGUGUAAACGCUGCUUGCUUGAUGUUAGUCUGGCUCCGAGCCAGAUUGGUGUCGGAGAGAAGUUGUUAAGCAAGCUGCCUGGGAAGUACGGCCGCAAGACUGAAACUUAAAGGAAUUGGCGGGGGAGCACAGCAACGGGUGGAGCGUGCGGUUU
This 429-nucleotide ribosomal RNA is filed under the name uncultured archaeon. RNAcentral describes it as "bacterial SSU rRNA". It matches the Rfam family "Archaeal small subunit ribosomal RNA", at positions 474 to 903 of the family's 1478-position model. The record is from RNAcentral.